This 1699-nucleotide small RNA is filed under the name Oryza sativa Japonica Group (Japanese rice). RNAcentral describes it as "sRNA Os03g0837350". Lineage: Eukaryota; Viridiplantae; Streptophyta; Magnoliopsida; Poales; Poaceae. The record is from RNAcentral.
CCUUCAUUGCAGUUCGCCUACCGGAGCUUCGUUGAGCCACAAGAAGUGGAUGAAAUCGUACAGCUUAGCACUCACGCUAACCUGACCUUGUACGGUGUUGGAUUCAGCCUCCUCAUGUGGUCUGGCCUCAUACGGUCCAGAUAGCCCAUGCACCGACUCCUUAUUUCGUUGAUGGAUGGUAGCUCUUCCCGUGGUUCGGCUUCAGAACAAGAACAGCCAGUAGCACUUCAAUAACUCCUCAACAUGCUGUGGAACAACAUAUGCCCUCUUUGAUUCAUUGAAAGGAUGCCGACACAGGAGCCUCUCACCUACCUUUGGGGCUGGCUCAUCUUCUCCAGUCAUUAUGUCAACCAAAGGAUAACCUUCUUUUCCAAACAACCUGUAGCAUCGUUUUUUACAUGGCAUAUAUACCUUUGUCACAUCUUCAGACAGUUUAAUGCGAGGUUGUUUGUUAAUCUCAACUAAUUUGAACACACAACCAAGCGCUGCUUGUGCAUAGCAUGUAACAAGGUAGGUACCAAUGCCAAAUGCAUCUACCUCCAUACCUGCUUGUUCAAGGCAUCAAUUGUUUCCUCAUUUAGGUCAUUGCUCGCUGUGAUAUUCAUUUUUCCAAAGCCAAUAAACCCAAAUUCUUCUUCAAUUGCACGGAAGAACUUACGAGUUUCAACGGAUAAGUAUGCUAAGUCACCAGAGUCUAAUCUAAUUCCAGCCGCCUUAUACCUGAAAUGAAAAUUUUCAGAUUUCAAUAUACAACUGCAGAGAAAGAUUGACAUACAUCAUAUGUGUCCACCAAAGCCAGGAAGGAAUUUGGAAAUGCCAGCGCAUAUGACGUGAAUGCAGCCAACUCACUUAGAUUUGUUUCACGAAAGGUACCACGCAAUGAACCAGCAUCCUGAGAAUAUCAUAAUGACGAUCUUUAGUUGUGAUAACAAAGUCUUCGCAUUUGUUUGAACCAUCAGAACUAGCGAGUGUCCUGUCAAUGAUGUCAUCAAGACCCUACAGACAUAUAAUAUAUUAGAGAAAAAAUACUGACACACAGAACUGUAUAGCCAGAGAGAUUUGUUCAUUUUGUAAACCAGACCUUGUUGCAUCAAAUCCUCCCAUAUAACAAUAUCUUGAUGCACUGAUUCCUCCAUCAGGCCCCUGAUAGAUGUGUGGCUAUAAUCCAAAUUCAAGUAAAUUCUUUGACUUCCCUGCUACAAGUCUGUGUCUUGCCGCGUUUGUAGUAACCAAGGAUGCAUAGUUGACCAGACUUAAAAAUGGUGUUUCAAGAAGUUGAAUAACCGCAACAGGUCCUUCAAUUAUCAUCAGUGGAACUUUAGGGAAUACAACAGAACCCUCAGGGAUGGCAUAAACCUCAACAUCUGAGCAGUCAAUUGAACUAAGUUUGGAAUUCCUACCUCGCAUGUAGGCAUGGCAGAUCGCAGGAAUGUUAUUUCCGUAUCUGUUAACUUGAAGUUAGCAAUGAAUCUUAUACACUCCUCAAGGCCACCGAAGAUGGUGAAUUCACCACCAAAGGGAUUUUUCCGGAAGUAAAGAUCAAAGCUGAAAAUAUUAAAGGUGCUUGCCGGCCUUCCAGUAGGCGUAGGCCAUGGUGAACUGGUAGAGGUCGGUGAGCAGCGGCGUCACCAUCGGGUUCGUCGGCCGCGGCACCCCUCCUCCGCCCCCCGCCCCGUUCGCCGCCGCUGCCGCCGCCGCC